GUAUCCGAUUCUGGAAAAGAACUUGGCUGCAUUCUAGCUCUGUCCUGAAAUUUUGUUUCAAAUUUUAAGGUUCAGGUCAAAGUGAUGGACUAAGUUAUUUGGCAAGGGAUUUCAUGACAGUAUAACAUCCAGCCUGUAGAAUGGUUACUGCUUGCUGAAUUUAGCUUUGAAUCAGGAAGAAGAAAUCUAUGAAAUAAGCAGUUUGAUUGAAGGAUCUUGAACACACUUAAAACAACAGAUAAGGUAGAUGGAGAGAAAGCAGGCAUUCCAUUGAUACCUCAUUUACAGAAAUACAAAUUGAAGGAACUCUGGCCAACCCGACCAUGGCGACCAUGGCGACCAAGGUCUAACAAACCAAGAACAAUGUACAAGAAUGCCGAUCUACCUGCAUAUUUGGCAGCCUUAUACGAUAUAAUAAUUUGGCUUCAGUCUCCCAAAUAUAAAGAUGUCCAUCCUGAUGCUUAUGUCCGAGUAAGUGCUCAGAAGUGAAGUCACCCAGCAAAGAGCUUUGUGUGCACCCCCAGAGUACAACUUUAUCUGCAGAAGAUUUAACUCAGCCAUGUGCUUCAGUCCAUUCUGUUUUUGAUGAAAAGCCAUGGAGACUAAGAGCUUUGACAGUUCCACUGUUACCUGGUACAACAUGGACAAAAAUUAAACAUUAACCCAGUCCUC
Molecule: long non-coding RNA, 672 nt
Filed under: Mus musculus (house mouse)
Lineage: Eukaryota; Metazoa; Chordata; Mammalia; Rodentia; Muridae
Description: RIKEN cDNA 1100001I12 gene
Source: RNAcentral